This is a non-coding RNA of Caenorhabditis elegans, 21 nucleotides long. NCBI's taxonomy places the organism in Eukaryota, Metazoa, Nematoda, Chromadorea, Rhabditida, Rhabditidae. The record is from Ensembl.
UCCAUCUUUCUGCGACCAGAA